RNAcentral lists this transfer RNA (71 nucleotides) under Sphaerodactylus townsendi. RNAcentral's name for it is "tRNA-Ala". The stretch from base 4 to 64 matches the Rfam family "tRNA", at positions 6 to 65 of the family's 71-position model. From Rfam's summary of the family: Transfer RNA (tRNA) molecules are approximately 80 nucleotides in length. Their secondary structure includes four short double-helical elements and three loops (D, anti-codon, and T loops). Lineage: Eukaryota; Metazoa; Chordata; Lepidosauria; Squamata; Sphaerodactylidae. The record is from RNAcentral.
GGUUGCAGCUCAGUGGUAAAGCAUCUGCUUGGCAUGCAGAGGGUUCCAGGUUCAAUCCCUGACAUCACACU